CGUAUCGAUGAAGAACGCAGCGAAACGCGAUAUUUCUU
RNAcentral lists this ribosomal RNA (38 nucleotides) under Geotrichum reessii. RNAcentral describes it as "Galactomyces reessii partial 5.8S ribosomal RNA". The record is from RNAcentral. Lineage: Eukaryota; Fungi; Ascomycota; Dipodascomycetes; Dipodascales; Dipodascaceae.